Molecule: non-coding RNA, 69 nt
Organism: Potamilus streckersoni
Lineage: Eukaryota; Metazoa; Mollusca; Bivalvia; Unionida; Unionidae
Source: the annotation of a GenBank genome assembly
GGUGGCUUAAAUGGUUAUAGCCUCCGCCUUGAAAGCGGAAGGUUGCGGGUUCGAACCCUGGCAGAGUCA